UCAACUGCAGUCUCGUCCCCUGUCAACUUCCACCACCCACUAACUAGCUAGUGGGUGGUGGAGGUUGACAGGGGAUGAGACUGCAGUUGA
Pelobates cultripes (western spadefoot toad) is the source of this 90-nucleotide non-coding RNA. Lineage: Eukaryota; Metazoa; Chordata; Amphibia; Anura; Pelobatidae. The record is from the annotation of a GenBank genome assembly.